Molecule: ribosomal RNA, 215 nt
Filed under: uncultured Streptococcus sp.
Lineage: Bacteria; Bacillati; Bacillota; Bacilli; Lactobacillales; Streptococcaceae
Description: partial 16S ribosomal RNA
Source: RNAcentral
AUUGAACGCUGGCGGCAGACUUAACACAUGCAAGUUGAUCGGUAGCAGGAGAAAGCUUGCUUUCUUUCUGACGAGUGUCGAACGGGUGAGUAAUGACAGGGAGUAUGGCGUAUGGCCGGCGAUUACUACGGCAAUCCGUAUCUAAUACCAGGUAAUAGGUAAAGAUUAAAGUGUGGAACUUUGAGGCCGCAUGCCGUAAGAGCAGCCCUAACGGG